UAAUGACUUGAUUUUUAUGCUUCUCCUGAAUAAGCUAUAGCUAAUGCACUUUUAAAGCAGACCAAAUUUAUACCUUAUUAUUGCUGUUGCUGCUCUAAUAGAUGAGUUUAUUUAGGUAUGGUGAACCGGUGAAGUAUGAAAGGGAAAUUAUCCUGAAAAACAUAAAAUGAUUUUCCAUUUUGUGAAGCUUCACAGUCUAUUGGAAGCGUUACAUCUUUUACUUUUAAACAAGUGGCUUCUUGUACUUGCUGAAGCUUCACUCUCCAUUAUUAUAGAAAUUGCAGAGAGCAAUAUUGACAAGCUCAUGUGACUUUGAUUUCCAAGAAAUCAGACAGCUGCAUUUGUUAUUCUAGCUACUAGAUGAUUUUAGAUUAAACUCAUUUGGUUUUUUGGCAAUUGAAUUGGGAUUUCGGGUUGAGAUUAUGUAUCCGAUUUCACAGGUUGGUACUCAUGAUAAGUUGG
This 462-nucleotide unclassified non-coding RNA is filed under the name Hevea brasiliensis (rubber tree). The record is from RNAcentral. Lineage: Eukaryota; Viridiplantae; Streptophyta; Magnoliopsida; Malpighiales; Euphorbiaceae.